UAUUUUAAAUAGUUUUAUAAUGUUAUUUGUUAGAAAUAUAUUUAUAUUAGUAGCGUGAGCAAAAUUUUAUUUUUACUAUAGAUUAAUAGUACUGUGAAGGAAUCUUGAAAUAUUUGAAAAGUUAAUAUGAGGAUAGUACUUAUUAAUUAAGGUACCUUUUGUAUCAGUGGCUAUUAAAAUUAAGUUGUAAGAUUUUAUCUCGAAAAUAAAAGAUCUAUGUUAAUUAUGGAGUUUUUGUAUCAAAAAAAUUUUGGAAAUUAGUAUAGGGGUGAAAUAUUAACCGAUUUUAUUAAUAUCUAGUAACUUUCGAAAUAAAUUUAGUUUAGGAUUUCUUAGAAUAAUUUAAUUUUUUAAUUUUUUUUAAGAUAUUCUUAGUUUUCAGGGGAUGAGCUCUGGAAAUAAUUUAUAAGAAUCAAGAUUUAUUAUUUUUUGUUUAAGCUUAGAAUUAGCUAUAAGAUAGUGUUAUAAGAUAGAAGUUUAAGAUUAGGAUUUAGUAUUCUUUAUGCGUGAAGGGAGUUAUCUUUUAAAUAGGUUUAAAGGAGUAAAUAUGAUAGCAUUAGUAGAUUGGUUUGUAUUAUAAUUUUUAUUUGAAUUAAUUAGAAAUUAUUUUUAAAAAUAAUUGUAUUAAAAGAAUUCGGCAAAUAUGAUUUCCGAAUGUUUAACAAAAACAUUUCCUCUUAGUUUAAGAGGUAAGGCCUGCUCACUGAAUUUUAAAGAGCCGCAGUAUUUUGACUGUGCUAAGGUAGCAUAAUCAUUAGUCUUUUAAUUGGGGACUGGUAUGAAUGGCUAAACGAGAGAUCUGCUUUUUUUAUUACAUAAAUUUAAUUUAACUUUUUAGUGAAAAGACUAGAAUGAUUUAGAAAGACGAGAAGACCCUAUAGAGUUUUAUGUAAUAAAAUAUUUUGUUUAAUUGGUUUUAUAAGAAUGAAUUAUGGUUUUACAUUUUGUUGGGGCGACAUUAAGAUAAGAAAAACUCUUGAUUUUAAAUACCUUUAUAAAGGAAUAAUUUGAUCCUCUAAAAGAGAUCAAAAGGAAAAAUUACCUUAGGGAUAACAGCGUAAUCUUUUUUGAGAGUUCAAAUCGACAAAAAGGUUUGCGACCUCGAUGUUGGACUAAAAUUUAAGCAAGGUGUAGCAGUUUUGUUUUAGGGUCUGUUCGACCCGUAAUAUUUUACAUGAUCUGAGUUCAGACCGGCGUGAGCCAGGUUGGUUUCUAUCUUCUAAUUUUUUAUUAUUAGCUUAGUACGAAAGGAUUGGUUAAUGGUAAUUUUUACAAUGUUUAAUGAGUAUA
RNAcentral lists this ribosomal RNA (1290 nucleotides) under Eochionelasmus ohtai. RNAcentral describes it as "16S ribosomal RNA". The stretch from base 606 to 1290 matches the Rfam family "Archaeal large subunit ribosomal RNA", at positions 1423 to 2842 of the family's 2987-position model. The record is from RNAcentral. Lineage: Eukaryota; Metazoa; Arthropoda; Thecostraca; Balanomorpha; Pachylasmatidae.